This 252-nucleotide ribosomal RNA is filed under the name uncultured bacterium. RNAcentral describes it as "partial 16S ribosomal RNA". It matches the Rfam family "Bacterial small subunit ribosomal RNA", at positions 524 to 776 of the family's 1533-position model. The record is from RNAcentral.
UACGUAGGGGGCUAGCGUUAUCCGGAAUUACUGGGCGUAAAGGGUGCGUAGGUGGUUUCUUAAGUCAGAGGUGAAAGGCUACGGCUCAACCGUAGUAAGCCUUUGAAACUGGGAAACUUGAGUGCAGGAGAGGAGAGUGGAAUUCCUAGUGUAACGGUGAAAUGCGUAGAUAUUAGGAGGAACACCAGUUGCGAAGGCGGCUCUCUGGACUGUAACUGACACUGAGGCACGAAAGCGUGGGGAGCAAACAGG